GUGGAAUUCGCCCUUUUCNGGUUGAUCCUGCCNGANGACAUUGCUAUUGGGAUUCGAUUUANCCAUGCUAGUUGUACGAACUGAGAUUCGUAGCAGAUAGCUCAGUAACACGGUGGCCAAGCUACCCUUCAGCCCACAAUACUCUCGGGAAACUGAGGCUAAUGGUGGAUACGGUACGCACGCUGGAAUGCAGCGUACUCCAAACGCUCCGGCGCUGAAGGAUGCGGCUGCGGCCGAUUAGGUAGACGGUGGGGUAACGGCCCACCGUGCCAAUAAUCGGUACGGGUGAUGAGAGUCAGAGCCCGGAGACGGAAUCUGANACAAGAUUCCGGGCCCUACGGGGCGCAGCAGGCGCGAAACCUUUACACUGCACGGAAGUGCGAUAGGGGAAUCCCAAGUGCGAGGGCAUAUUANCCCUCGCUUUUGUUGACUGUAAGGAGGUCAACGAAUAAGAGCUGGGCAAGACCGGUGCCAGCCGCCNCGGUAAUACCNGCAGCUCNAGUGAUGUCCAAUAUUAUUGGGCCUAAAGCGUCCGUAGCUGGCCAGCCAAGUUCGUCGGGAAAUCCACCUGCCCAACAGGUGGGCGUCCGGCUAAAACUGUCUGGCUUGGAACCGGAAGGCUCAAAGGGUACGUCCGGAGUANGAGUGAAAUCCCGUAAUCCCGGACGGACCACCNAUGGCGAAAGCACUCUGAGANGACAGAUUCNACANUGAGGGACGAAAGCUAGGGUCUCGAACCGGAUUAGAUACCCNGGUAGUCCUANCUGUAAACNAUGCUCGUUUANGUGUGGCACCCACUACNAGUGGGGUGCUGUGCCCUANGGAAGCCGCUAAACGAGNCCGCCUGGG
Molecule: ribosomal RNA, 849 nt
Filed under: uncultured archaeon
Lineage: Archaea
Description: partial 16S ribosomal RNA
Rfam family: Archaeal small subunit ribosomal RNA
Source: RNAcentral